Molecule: transfer RNA, 77 nt
Filed under: bacterium
Lineage: Bacteria
Also listed under: 5 other names
Description: tRNA-Glu
Rfam family: tRNA
About the family: Transfer RNA (tRNA) molecules are approximately 80 nucleotides in length. Their secondary structure includes four short double-helical elements and three loops (D, anti-codon, and T loops).
Source: RNAcentral
GCCCCGUUCGUCUAGUGGCCGAGGACACCGCCCUCUCAAGGCGGAGAUCGCGGGUUCGAAUCCCGCACGGGGCACCA